RNAcentral lists this ribosomal RNA (2909 nucleotides) under Lactiplantibacillus plantarum. Its description in RNAcentral is "bacterial LSU rRNA". It matches the Rfam family "Bacterial large subunit ribosomal RNA". The record is from RNAcentral. Lineage: Bacteria; Bacillati; Bacillota; Bacilli; Lactobacillales; Lactobacillaceae.
ACAAGGGCGCAUGGUGAAUGCCUUGGCACUAGGAGCCGAUGAAGGACGGGACUAACACCGAUAUGCUUCGGGGAGCUGUACGUAAGCUAUGAUCCGGAGAUUUCCGAAUGGGGCAACCCAGCAGUUUUAAUCAACUGUUACCACUAGAUGAAUUCAUAGUCUAGUUGGAGGUAAACGCUGUGAACUGAAACAUCUCAUUAGCAGCAGGAAUAUAAAGAAAUUUCGAUUCCCUAAGUAGCGGCGAGCGAACGGGGAACAGCCCAAACCAAAGUGCUUGCACUUUGGGGUUGUAGGACUGAACAUUUGAGUUACCAAAGAACUUGAUAGUCGAAGGAUUUGGGAAAAUCCGCCAUAGAUGGUGAUAGCCCAGUAGAUUAAAUCAAAUUCUCUCAGUUCAGGUUCCUGAGUACGGCGGAACACGUGAAAUUCCGUCGGAAUCCGGGAGGACCAUCUCCCAAGGCUAAAUACUACCUAGUGACCGAUAGUGAACCAGUACCGUGAGGGAAAGGUGAAAAGCACCCCGGGAGGGGAGUGAAAUAGUUCCUGAAACCAUGUGCCUACAAUAAGUCAGAGCGCGUUAAUGCGUGAUGGCGUGCCUUUUGUAGAAUGAACCGGCGAGUUAUGAUCCCGUGCAAGGUUAAGACUAAAAAGUCGGAGCCGUAGCGAAAGCGAGUCUGAAAUGGGCGUUUUGAGUACGAGGUUAUAGACCCGAAACCAGGUGACCUAUCCAUGUCCAGGUUGAAGGUGCGGUAAAACGCACUGGAGGACCGAACCCGUGUAAGUUGAAAAUUGCUGGGAUGAGGUGUGGAUAGCGGUGAAAUUCCAAACGAACUUGGAGAUAGCUGGUUCUCUCCGAAAUAGCUUUAGGGCUAGCCUCGGAAUUAGGAUCAUGGAGGUAGAGCACUAUUUGGACUAGGGGCCCGUCUUGGGUUACUGAAUUCAGAUAAACUCCGAAUGCCAUUGAUUCAUAUCCGGGAGUCAGACGAUGAGUGAUAAGAUCCACCGUCGAAAGGGGAACAGCCCAGACCAUCAGUUAAGGUCCCUAAAUGUAUGCUAAGUGGAAAAGGAUGUGGAGUUGCAUAGACAACUAGGAUGUUGGCUCAGAAGCAGCCACCAUUUAAAGAGUGCGUAAUAGCUCACUAGUCGAGUGAUCCUGCGCCGAAAAUGUACCGGGGCUAAGCAUACUACCGAAACCAUGGAUGCGACCAUUAGGUCGCGUGAUAGGAGAGCGUUCUAAGGGCGGUGAAGCAAGAUCGUGAGGACUUGUGGAGCGCUUAGAAGUGAGAAUGCCGGUAUGAGUAGCGAAAGAUAGGUGAGAAUCCUAUCCACCGAAUGACUAAGGUUUCCUGGGGAAGGCUCGUCCUCCCAGGGUUAGUCGGGACCUAAGUCGAGGCCGAGAGGCGUAGACGAUGGAUAACAGGUUGAGAUUCCUGUACUAGUUAAGUGCGUUUGAGCAAUGGAGGGACGCAGGAGGCUAAGAUGUGCAUUCUGUUGGAUUAGAAUGUCCAAGCAGUAAGUCUUGUGAAGAGUCAAAUGCUUUUCACUUUAAGGACAAGCUGUGAUGGGGAGCGAAAUUUAGUAGCGAAGCGUCUGAUGUCACACUGCCGAGAAAAGCUUCUAGUGAGUACUUAACUACCCGUACCGCAAACCGACACAGGUAGUCGAGGAGAGAAUCCUAAGGUGAGCGAGUGAACUCUCGUUAAGGAACUCGGCAAAAUGACCCCGUAACUUCGGGAGAAGGGGUGCUGAUCGCAAGAUCAGCCGCAGUGAAUAGGCCCAGGCGACUGUUUAUCAAAAACACAGGUCUCUGCAAAAUCGUAAGAUGACGUAUAGGGGCUGACGCCUGCCCGGUGCUGGAAGGUUAAAAGGAUGGGUUAGCUUCGGCGAAGCUCAGAAUUGAAGCCCCAGUAAACGGCGGCCGUAACUAUAACGGUCCUAAGGUAGCGAAAUUCCUUGUCGGGUAAGUUCCGACCCGCACGAAAGGCGUAACGAUCUGGGCACUGUCUCAACGAGAGACUCGGUGAAAUUAUAUUGUCCGUGAAGAUGCGGACUACCCGCGACAGGACGGAAAGACCCCAUGGAGCUUUACUGUAGCUUGAUAUUGAGUGUUUGUACAGCUUGUACAGGAUAGGUAGGAGCCAUAGAAACCGGAACGCUAGUUUCGGUGGAGGCGUUGGUGGGAUACUACCCUCGCUGUAUGACCACUCUAACCCGCACCACUAAUCGUGGUGGGAGACAGUGUCAGGUGGGCAGUUUGACUGGGGCGGUCGCCUCCUAAAAAGUAACGGAGGCGCCCAAAGGUUCCCUCAGAAUGGUUGGAAAUCAUUCGCAGAGUGUAAAGGCACAAGGGAGCUUGACUGCGAGACAGACAGGUCGAGCAGGGACGAAAGUCGGGCUUAGUGAUCCGGUGGUACCGUAUGGAAGGGCCAUCGCUCAACGGAUAAAAGCUACCCUGGGGAUAACAGGCUUAUCUCCCCCAAGAGUCCACAUCGACGGGGAGGUUUGGCACCUCGAUGUCGGCUCAUCGCAUCCUGGGGCUGUAGUCGGUCCCAAGGGUUGGGCUGUUCGCCCAUUAAAGCGGUACGCGAGCUGGGUUCAGAACGUCGUGAGACAGUUCGGUCCCUAUCCGUCGCGGGCGUAGGAAAUUUGAGAGGACCUGUCCUUAGUACGAGAGGACCGGGAUGGACAUACCUCUGGUGUACCAGUUGUGCCGCCAGGCGCAUCGCUGGGUAGCUACGUAUGGAUGUGAUAAACGCUGAAAGCAUCUAAGUGUGAAACACACCUCGAGAUGAGAUUUCCCAUUCCUUUAUGGAAGUAAGACCCCUGAAAGAUGAUCAGGUAGAUAGGUUAGAAGUGGCAGUGCGGUGACGCAUGAAGCGGACUAAUACUAAUCGGUCGAGGACUUAACC